UAUAAGCUUAUGAAAAUACCGUUCUCUGCAAGCUUAGGUUUUGAAGAAAACAAUUAUUUCUUUUUAUUUAAUAUGGUAUCAGAGUAUGAGGUCUUCAGUUCCAGUCACCUCAGACUUCUAGCAUAAUUUAUUUUUUUUUUCUAUUUAAUUCAAUUUCAAGUUAUGAGCCUAUCAAAAGGUUUCGAGCGUAGACUAUUUUUUUAUUCAGAGGUAAACGGUUACUGUAUUUAACUUUAACAUUAACCCUCCCACUCAUAUGCAUGGUAGGUAUCAGAUAAAUUCUAUCCACUGACUGCAUAGAUAACGAAAUAGUAAACAAGCGUAAGCUAUUAGAGAUAAAUGAUUGUUUAUUUAAUUUAACAUUAACCCUUCGACUUAUGUGCAUGGUGGAUAUUAGAUAAAUCAUGCCACAUGCACUGACUGAAUAGAUAACAAAAUAAUUAAUAAGAAUAUAUGUGCAUUAAAGUGAUGAAUGUGGUAAUUAAACUCA
Molecule: long non-coding RNA, 490 nt
Filed under: Ananas comosus (pineapple)
Lineage: Eukaryota; Viridiplantae; Streptophyta; Magnoliopsida; Poales; Bromeliaceae
Description: long non-coding RNA (ACOM_LNC031845)
Source: RNAcentral